GUCCUCUGUGCUGAAGGCUAAAGACUGCAAACAGGUGUGCAGGCCGCCUGGAAGCCUGCCAGUGAACUUUUCUGUGGCUGAGCAUUCAGCCGGGUGUGAACGGACACCUAGGAUUCCAGAGCCCCUUAAUCACGACCAUG
This is a long non-coding RNA of Bufo bufo (common toad), 140 nucleotides long. RefSeq lists it as uncharacterized. The transcript has 4 exons. NCBI's taxonomy places the organism in Eukaryota, Metazoa, Chordata, Amphibia, Anura, Bufonidae. The record is from RefSeq and is a predicted model, not a curated record.